This 445-nucleotide ribosomal RNA is filed under the name uncultured bacterium. RNAcentral's name for it is "bacterial SSU rRNA". It matches the Rfam family "Bacterial small subunit ribosomal RNA", at positions 217 to 662 of the family's 1533-position model. The record is from RNAcentral.
GGUAUGGGAUGAGCUUGCGUCCGAUUAGCUAGUUGGCGGGGCAACGGCCCACCAAGGCGACGAUCGGUAGCCGGCCUGAGAGGGUGAUCGGCCACAUUGGGACUGAAAUACGGCCCAGACUCCUACGGGAGGCAGCAGUAGGGAAUAUUGCACAAUGGGGGAAACCCUGAUGCAGCAACGCCACGUGUGGGAAGAAGCAUUUCGGUGUGUAAACCACUGUCGUGAGGGAAUAAGGCGUCUUCUCGGAGGCGUUGAAUGUACCUCGAAAGGAAGCACCGGCAAACUUCGUGCCAGCAGCCGCGGUAAUACGAGGGGUGCAAGCGUUGUUCGGAAUCACUGGGCGUAAAGGGAGCGUAGGCGGAGAUGCAAGCGGACUGUACAAUACCGGGGCCCAACCCCGGGCCUGCAGUUCGGACUGCACCUCUUGGAUAGUUCAGGGGCAGGC